UACGGAGGGUGCAAGCGUUAUCCGGAUUCACUGGGCUUAAAGGGCGCGUAGGCGGGCAGGUAAGUCAGUGGUGAAAUCCUAGAGCUUAACUCUAGAACUGCCAUUGAUACUAUCUGUCUUGAAUAUUGUGGAGGUAAGCGGAAUAUGUCAUGUAGCGGUGAAAUGCUUAGAUAUGACAUAGAACACCUAUUGCGAAGGCAGCUUACUGCGCAUAUAUUGACGCUGAGGCACGAAAGCGUGGGGAUCAAACAGG
RNAcentral lists this ribosomal RNA (253 nucleotides) under uncultured bacterium. RNAcentral describes it as "partial 16S ribosomal RNA". It matches the Rfam family "Bacterial small subunit ribosomal RNA", at positions 524 to 776 of the family's 1533-position model. The record is from RNAcentral.